This 253-nucleotide ribosomal RNA is filed under the name uncultured bacterium. Its description in RNAcentral is "partial 16S ribosomal RNA". It matches the Rfam family "Bacterial small subunit ribosomal RNA", at positions 524 to 776 of the family's 1533-position model. The record is from RNAcentral.
UACGUAGGCAGCGAGCGUUGUUCGGAAUUACUGGGCGUAAAGAGUGUGUAGGCGGUGCUCUAAGUUCGGUGUGAAAUCUCCUGGCUCAACUGGGAGGGUGCGCCGGAAACUGGAGUGCUUGAGCGUGGGAGAGGAAAGCGGAAUUCCUGGUGUAGCGGUGAGAUGCGUAGAUAUCAGGAGGAACACCUGUGGUGUAGACGGCUUUCUGGACCAUAGCUGACGCUGAGACACGAAAGCGUGGGUAGCAAACAGG